GAACAGCUGGGCAGAUAGCACCAGGCAUAUUUUGGAAUGGAUGAGGUCUGGAACCCUGAGCAGUCCAGUGAGGACUUGGUCUUAGUUGAGCAAUUUGGAAGACACAUGUCUGUACUCCA
Herpailurus yagouaroundi (jaguarundi) is the source of this 119-nucleotide long non-coding RNA. RefSeq lists it as uncharacterized. Lineage: Eukaryota; Metazoa; Chordata; Mammalia; Carnivora; Felidae. The record is from RefSeq and is a predicted model, not a curated record. The transcript has 3 exons.